Molecule: ribosomal RNA, 501 nt
Filed under: uncultured bacterium
Lineage: Bacteria
Description: partial 16S ribosomal RNA
Rfam family: Bacterial small subunit ribosomal RNA
Source: RNAcentral
AUUGAACGCUGGCGGCAUGCCUUACACAUGCAAGUCGAACGGCAGCACGGGUGCUUGCACCUGGUGGCGAGUGGCGAACGGGUGAGUAAUACAUCGGAACGUACCUUAUCGUGGGGGAUAACGCAGCGAAAGCUGUGCUAAUACCGCAUACGCCCUGCGGGGGAAAGCGGGGGAUCGCAAGACCUCGCGCGAUUAGAGCGGCCGAUGCCUGAUUAGCUUGUGGGUGGGGGAAAAGCCCACCAAGGCGACGAUCAGUAGCUGGUCUGAGAGGACGAUCAGCCACGCUGGGACUGAGACACGGCCCAGACUCCUACGGGAGGCAGCAGUGGGGAAUUUUGGACAAUGGGGGCAACCCUGAUCCAGCAAUGCCGCGUGAGUGAAGAAGGCCUUCGGGUUGUAAAGCUCUUUUGUCAGGGAAGAAACACCGGCUCUAACACAGUCCGGGAAUGACGGUACCUGAAGAAUAAGCACCGGCUAACUACGUGCCAGCCGCCGCUGUAA